Molecule: RNA transcript, 3542 nt
Organism: Arachis duranensis
Lineage: Eukaryota; Viridiplantae; Streptophyta; Magnoliopsida; Fabales; Fabaceae
Exons: 6
Source: RefSeq, a predicted model, not a curated record
UUUUGUUGGAAGCUUUAAAUUGUGUUUUUUUUUUAAAUUCAUUUUGAUUUUACUUGCACACAACGUGCUCGGUAAAAUGUUUCAACUAGAAUCAUGGUUAAUUUGAUGCAUUUCUAAUUAGAAGGAUAUAUAAUAGUAAAAUUAAUGCACUGAUAUGAAAAUUGUAAAAAUUGAUUUUUGAAUAUACGGUGCUAAACUGCUAAUUAUUAAUGGUACAAUGGAGUGGUUUAACAUGUUUAUCAAAAGUGCUUCCUUAGAGACCAGCAUACCCACUUAAUGUGAAUAGAGAUCAUGCAUGCACUUGUAACCCUUCAAUUCAUUUUAUUAGUCUUAAUAAUUAUAAUAUAAGUAUAAAAUAAAAUGUCCUUCAUCUGAUUAGUCUUGAUUAUAACAUCUAGUGGUUAAAUUCCGAAUUUAUCCUUGAUGAUCUUAUAUCAUUGAUCUACCAAUUAAGUUGAAAUUAAUGUUGAAUAGAAUCUAACUUAAAAUCGACCAAACUUUGACAAUAACCUAACAUUAAGAAAUCAAGGUACUACCACGAUCUUUUAUAAGUCUGCAGGUAAUUCAAUUCAACUCUUUUUGCUCUGUUUACUUAUGCAUCUCUGAGAAUGUUUAAUGAGUAAAAUAUAGUCCAAGGUCCAAUUAGGAUAGUUUAUUAGUAAUUGAUUUACUAUAAAUAAAUAUAGUAGAAAUGUAAUGGAAAAAGCAUGAAUUGAGUAAUGAAUAUAUUUUCUUUUUCUGAAAUUCCUUCUAUGGAAUUAUCUGUUUCCCUCUUGAUUCACACACACACACACACAUACAUACACAUACACACAUACACAUUAACUCAAUCACAUAAAAAAGAAAGGCGGAAAGCUGGUCAUAGUGCCACAUGAAAAGGGAAAACAAAAACAUUUCAGACAAAAGCAGGGCCUAUUUUGGUUGCCAUAAAUCCCUUCAAGAAAGUUCUUCUAUAUCGUAAUGAUUAUAUUGAAGCCUACAAGCGUAAAAGAAUUGAAAGCUCUCAUGUAUAUGCCAUUACUGACACAGCCAUUCAAGAAAUGAUAUGGGAUGAAGUAAAUCAAUCUAUAAUUAUAAGUUGUGAGAGUGGAGCAGGGAAGACUAAGAUAGCAAAGAUAGCAAUGCAGUACUUGGCUGCCCUUGGUGGUGGAAGUGGAAUAGAGUAUGAGAUAUUGAAGACUAAUCCAAUACUAGAAGCCUUUGGUAAUGGAAAAACAUUGAAAAAUGGCACAGGGGAACCUCAUUGAGAUUCACUUCAGUGAAACUAGAAAAAUAUGUGGUGCUAAUAUCCAAACAUUUCUUUUGAAAAAGGUAACGAUGCAUCCUUCUGAGCUAGUUAUUCUUCUCAAUUUCUGUUCAUACUACAUUAAGACACCUUAACUUUAUUUGAUAUUUGAACAGUCUAGAGUUGUCCAAUGCAAUGAAAGUGAAAGGUCCUAUCAUAAAAGGAAAGACUUGCAAAGGGAUAUGGGUGAGGGUGCUUUAGCAUAUGUAAAAAGCAUCGAGAUUAUGUUCAAGGUCAUUGACGUCGCCGUUAGAAACUGCUGAUGUGGACUGUGACUUGGCUGCCCACCCCAACCAAACGACGCCGUUUGGUCACUCCAGCGUGUCGUAAUGAAACGCUUGCGUUUUGAGGGGACAGUGAAACGUUUUUCACUGUGUCUUUGGUCUCUAACCUCAGUUGUUCUUCAUCAUACUAAGCUUGAGUCUCUGUUUCUCUGCCCCCUAAGCAAGCAAGAGGAAGACGAAGAAGACUGCCCCAUUGAACGCAACCGUUGGAGUAGGCGUGGAGCAUUGUUGGUGCGUCUGCUCUGGAGCCUGGUGGGAAACCUGAAGGCAAGAACAGAGCGUUGUUUCUGCGUUCGAAGCAAGAGGUAAACUUUUUUGGAUGUUGCCAAAACCCUCUGAUAAAACUGUGUAAAACCAUACUUUCCACAUUAUUUGAUUGAGUGAUCGUUAACAAUCUGUUAGUGAAUAGGGUGUAGGGUUUCAUUCCAGGGUUGGGUUUAUGAACGGGUGAAUGCGUAAAUUAGGAAAGACUCUGUAUUUUUGGCUUAGAAAAAGUGUUAACUAUGGCUUGUGUUAAUGGAGUAAUGGUUAGUGGUUUAGGGUCUGUGUUGGUGAUGAUUUAGUGUUUUUCAUGUUCCUUUUUAAUUUUUGUAUAGGGUUUGGAGGCCUUGCACUUCUAAGAUGGAGGGUCCUCCGAUGAUGUUCAUUUUUCAUCAUGGUGGAAGCUUUAAAAAUGAUGAGAAAGGAAGUAGAAUCUACGAACCAGAUAAUACGAAAGUGUUGGUGGGGGUGGAUGGGGAUACGUUGGAUGUGUUUUUUGUUACAGGAUACUAUAAGGAACUGGGAUAUGCUGGGGGGUUUAUGUUGGUGGAAGGUUCCUUGGCUGUCGCUUGAGAAAGGGCUGAGGAAGUUAGAGACUGAUAAAGACUUGCUGAAACUGUGUAAGACCUGUAGGAGGAAUCACAAUGUGAUGAACAUAUAUUUUGAACAUGGAGUUUCAGAGCCACACGUGGUGGAAUGCAUGAGUGAGGAAGAUGAUGUCAUUCUGCCAACCAAUGCACCCUUGUUGAAGCUGCCCAGCACACAGCCUGCAAUGCAAGCAAGGAAAAUUGCAUACCAGCCAACACUGAGCCACUCACAGAGGGAUUCAACAAAGCCUCUGCAUCCCACUCCCAAAAAUAAAGACAAAGCCACUCCCAACUCUGCUGGACCCAAUCCUCACCACAAGAACAUGGAAUGAAGAGAAAAUAUAACCCCAUCCGAUGCAUGUUCUGUAGUGAGGUUGGACACAACAAGAGAACAUGCCAGAAGAAGAAACAGGCUGAUGCUGAAGAAGAAGCACGUUUAAUGCAGCUGCAACUGGCUUUAACUAACCCUAAUACAGAUGUACCAAACGAGCUCCCUUCUGAUGUACCAAACGAGCUCCCAACUGAUGCUGAUAGUGCAACGCUACAUAAUCCUCUCCCUUUGUCUGUUUCCCCACCACCAAAGCAGUCAAAUGCAGCCACUGAAACAACACCGGCUUGCUUUACUGCUUUAACUUCAAUUUCAUUUCACUAUAGUUGUUUAGUUUCUCAGUUUGGUGUUUACUAUGUCAUGCAGGCUAAAAUGAGGGAAAGACCACCAAAGCUUCAAGUUUGUAAGGGAAAAGGGAAAAGAGCUGCCUCUCCCCACCCUGCUCCACCAACAGCAACAGCUCCAAUUUCUGCUGGAACAAUCAGAGGAUCUAGUGCUGCGACAACCAAAAAGCUUGCAAGUUUUAUGACCUUCGUCCCGACUCCAGGGUUCAAACGGCCUAGGAAGAAAGACGACGGCAUCUGAAGCACAUCCAUCUAAACAUAUGCAACCUUUUUUUUUUGUUCUAGGCUCUAGACUAAGAAAGACAUGUUUAUGUUUCUGUUAAACAAUAUCUAGAAUCAAUGUUUUGUAAUGACUCUAUUUUGGGUGCAUGUUAUGCCUUGGUAUGAAGUGUUUCUGUUGAAUCAUUUUUAGGCAUUCUACUACCUUUUGUUAUGACAUUUUAUAUUAAGAAA